Molecule: ribosomal RNA, 510 nt
Filed under: uncultured bacterium
Lineage: Bacteria
Description: partial 16S ribosomal RNA
Rfam family: Bacterial small subunit ribosomal RNA
Source: RNAcentral
GACGAACGCUGGCGGCGUGCUUAACACAUGCAAGUCGAACGAAGAGCGAUUGAAGCUUGCUUCUAUCAAUCUUAGUGGCGAACGGGUGAGUAACGCGUAAUCAACCUGCCCUUCAGAGGGGAACAACAGUAGGAAACGACUGCUAAUACCACAUACGAUCCGACCUCGGCAUCGAGGAGGGAUGAAAGGUGGCCUCUAUUUAUAAGCUAUCACUGAAGGAGGGGAGUGCGUCUGUUGAGCUAGUAGGCGGGGUAACGUCCCACCAAGGCGAUGAUCAGUAGCCGGUCUGCGAGGAUGGGCAGCCACAUUGGGAGUGAGACACGGCACAGACUGCUACGGGAGGCAGCAGUGGGGAAUCGUCCGGCAGCGGCGAAAGACUGACGGAGCAACGCCGCGGGAGGGAGGACGGCCUUCGGGUUGGAAAGCUCUGUUAUUCGGGACGAAAGGUCUUCUUGCGAAUAGGUAGAAGAAUUGACGGUACCGGAAUAGAAAGCCACGGCUAACUACGUG